This 23-nucleotide microRNA is filed under the name Monodelphis domestica (gray short-tailed opossum). Its description in RNAcentral is "mdo-miR-7280-3p". The record is from miRBase by way of RNAcentral. Lineage: Eukaryota; Metazoa; Chordata; Mammalia; Didelphimorphia; Didelphidae.
CAUGCCCCGAACUCUCUGCCACC